This 300-nucleotide unclassified non-coding RNA is filed under the name uncultured Mortierella. RNAcentral describes it as "sequence contains 5.8S rRNA gene, ITS2". The stretch from base 1 to 71 matches the Rfam family "5.8S ribosomal RNA", at positions 84 to 154 of the family's 154-position model. The record is from RNAcentral. Lineage: Eukaryota; Fungi; Mortierellomycota; Mortierellomycetes; Mortierellales; Mortierellaceae.
GUGAGUCAUCGAAUCUUUGAACGCAUAUUGCGCUCUUUGGUAUUCCGAAGAGCAUGCUUGUUUGAGUAUCAGUAAACACCUCAAAACUCUUGAUCUUUUUCAAGCGUUUUGGACUUGAGCAAACCCAACGCCUUUUCUUUUAAGAUCUGUUGCGGCGGGUUGCUUGAAAUGCAGGUGCAGCUGGACAAUCUCCUGAGCUAAAAGCAUAUUUAUUUAGUCCCGUCAAACGGAUUAUUACUUUUGCUGCAGCUAACAUAAAGGGAGUUUGACCGUAUUGGCUGACUGAUGCAGGAUUUCACA